AACUGGGCCUGAUUGAGAUUAGAACCCAGAAAUAUCAGAACCCUCAAUUUGAACAGAAAUGUGAUCUUUUAUGUUUAGGAUAGUCAAGCGUCUACCAAAGUGCCUGUCCUAUCUCUGGAAGAAGUCUGCAUUUUGUGAUAAAAGUAGAAAACUCAAUCAACCUGUCAUCAGUUACGUAACUUAAAAGUUUCUCCAAAAGAAUCCUUUUCUACUUGGGAAGCACAAACAGCCAAAAGCAGCACUGGGGUUUUGACUGUCAAGGAGAUUAUUUGGACAUUAUGAAAAGGCAAAGAGAGAAACACUUCUGUAACUAUAACAAGACUAAAAAAGAAAAGCAAGAUGCAUUUUUAGAAGAAAUAAGUGGAUGACUCCUUGGACUGCAAGUGAGACUCAGCACAGGCUCAACAAGGAAAGAUGGUUGCUAAAUUACGAAUAAAAAGAGAGAGAUUUGUGGUUGCUUCAGAGAGAAAGUGGGAAGAACAGAAAGAAAAGGGGCAAAAGAAAAAAGCCCACAAGUCUGGGCCCUUCAUGGCGGACAGGCCAGUGAGCGGAAAUCGAGGUGGCAAACACACACGUCAGCGAGGGGAGCUAGAGGAUGAGGAAAACAACUGACAUUUAAAUAACGAACAUAAUAAGUAAUUUCAAUGUCCAGGUGAGUGAACCACAGAAUUACCUGUGUUUUGUCAAUCUGGUCAGAGCUAAGUUUCUAUAGUGAGUAACCACGAUAAUAAAUGCUCUCUCCUAUCCCUGAGCUGUCUAUUUAGAAAGAAUGCUUCAAAACCCUAUCAAGUUAAAUUGCAGGAGAGGAAGCAACUGAGUUCUUCAUUUGUUCCCUGACUUGCUUAUUAUUCAACAAGUAUGGAUUUGGUGUCCAUUGAGGCUGCUCUUUGCUUUGUGACCUUGAGUCAUUUACUGUCUCUGGGCCUUACUUUUAUCAUCUGUAAAAUGAGGGGCUGGAUCAGAUGAUCCUUGAGGUGCCUUCCUGCUCUGGGAUUUUUUUUGCUCUAAAGCUUUAUAGUAAAAAAUUAUUGUAAGUUAAAUGUUUUCUAACUCUGGCAGUUAAAAAAUGUUUAGUAUCCAUUCUAAACAUUUAAAAAUAGUCACCUGAAAAUAAUUCACAGAUACAAGAAAAAGUUCUGAGAAGAUCUUUUUUAAAAAAUUGGCACAUUAUGCUAUUAUGAAAUCCCUAUUUAGUGCUUUUAUAUUUAAAGUUUAAUUGGAACGGAAUCUUAAAUUUUCCAGAUUCUCCUUAUACAAGUUUCUUCUAGCAUGUAAAUCUCAUAGGCCACUUUUAACUUCAACAUCCAAGUGUCCACUCAUUUUAUGCCUGCACUCACAUUGCAUCCACUUUACAACCUGUUUCCCUUCUUUAUCCAACAAAUCCUGCCAGCUAUUCCUUUCUGAGUAAGCUAUCAUCCUAAUUCCUUGUAUCAAUCACUAGGUCCUGAGAUUUUAGAAACAAACUAUGGGAGAGUUUUCUGUGUUGGCCUCUAUUUUUUUCACCAAAGAUUUCUCCCAGCAUAUCAUAGGAAAGGGAGAUUGACUAGGUCACCCUCCUGCUUAAAAAACCUUCAAGGAUUCACUUUUUUUUUUUUUUUUUUUAACCAAAGACUACCUUAACUCCAUGUCCUGGCAUUCAAGGCCAUUCAGAAGUUGACGUACUUGACAACCACAUGCUUGAUAAUCUCCAGCCAAUCCAGAUGGCUAUGCUUCAUGCCAUCAUCCCAGUCUCCCCAUCUCUACCUAGGAACAUCCUAUUGACCAUGAAAAGCUCAGAUCAAGGCCCAUCUUCUUGAUAAUGCCUUUCCUGGCACUCUUUAGGAAUCUCCUUAGCCACAGCUACACAUUCUUGCCACGUUCUCAGCAGCAGAUGGAGAUGUAUUAUUCAGUUUACAAUACUCCUCAACACCUGUACAGUCUCUAGAUGUUGUUUUGCCCAUUCAACUGUGAGUUCUUUGAGGACAAGGGGCCAUGCACCAGUCUCCAGGCCUGAUGCUAUCACAGGAUUGCACAACUUUAAGAGGCACCAUGCCCUUCUAUGUAACAAUACUGACAUUUAUCAUUCAUGUGAUUUUUCAUCCUGAAUGAAUGACAGAACUGCCAGUAGAGAAGUGAUUACUUAUAAAAACAUGAAUUUCUCCCCAACCCCUAAGUAAACAAAUGGUUCCUUCACAUGGACACAGAGAGGGGAACAGCACACACCAGGGCCUGUUGAGGGGUGGAGGAUGAGGGGAGGAAACUUAGAGGAUGGGUCAAUAGGUGCAGCAAACCACCAUGGCAUACGUAUACCUAUAUAACAAACCUGCACGUUCUGCACAUCAUUUAUCACUUUUUUUUAGAAUAAAUAAAGAAAAACAAACAACCAAAUGGUUCCUUUUACAUCUGUGAUUUUGAUUCAAGAAUGCAAACUUGAACUUGUAAAUAAUAAUAAGAAAAUUAUUUGAUUUUAAGAUGAUGGAAUAAAGAAAGCCUCAUUUGAAGGCAGAAUUCUGUGUCAUUCACAAACAUAAGAAGGAGCUGUUAUAAAGGUGUCAAAAAACCUCUAAAUAAGGUGUGGAACAAAAGAUGGUAGAGUGGGAGGAAUCACUUUGGCAGGUUGGCCCUCCCAGAUGGAUGUGCUCUGUGUCCUUAAUUAACAUUUUAUGUGCAGACAGUGAUUUCUAUGAAUGAGAAUUAUUGGCAUAUAAGCCAAACACCCUCUUUUGAAUUGUAAGAUGGUCCAGGGUACAAUGCUACUACACCAGAACACAAGGGAAAAUCCUAAUACUUGCUUCCAUUAAAGAAAGAAGAUCAUGUACAAUGUAUAUUUUAUUUUAUUUUAUUUUAUUUUAUUUUAUUGGAGACAGGAUCUCACUAUGUUCCCCAGGCUGGUCUUGAACUCCUAGGCUCGAGUGAUCCUUCUGCCUUAGCCUUCUGAGUAGCUGGAAUUACAGGCACACCCCACUGCUCCCGGCUAGCACAUUUAAAUAAUUUUGUUUACUUAUAAUUUUCAGUAAAAUUUUCUAGUUUGAGAUGUAACAUAGAAAAACUGUGAUUACCAUAUUUCAUAAGUGGUUAAGAUUAUUCUAGUUGGCAUGUGUAAAGUUUAUUUGUGGAUUCUUCAGGAGGGAAAUAUCCUAGAUAAACAUACUAGAUUUUCACAAUACAAAUAAUGAUACCUGUUUU
Long non-coding RNA from Homo sapiens (human), 3165 nucleotides. RefSeq lists it as uncharacterized. The record is from RefSeq and is a predicted model, not a curated record. NCBI's taxonomy places the organism in Eukaryota, Metazoa, Chordata, Mammalia, Primates, Hominidae. The transcript has 3 exons.